AUCUCAUUAUAUUAAUAAACUGUAUAAAAUGAUAUUUAAAAAGUUUUUUCUUCAAUUUUCAUAUGUUGAAAUUUUUUGUCAAAGUUGAACUCAUCUCUCGGUAGAACCUCAUAUCAUAUGGCUGCAGUUCAAUAAAAAAUUCACCAAGUCAAAAAAAUCUUUUUCUCAAGUUAAAUUCAAAAUCUUAUCUCAUUAUAUUAAUAAACUGUAUAAAAUGAUAUUUAAAAAGUUUUUUCUUCAAUUUUCAUAUGUUGAAAUUUUU
Long non-coding RNA from Drosophila albomicans, 262 nucleotides. RefSeq lists it as uncharacterized. The transcript is spliced from 2 exons. The record is from RefSeq and is a predicted model, not a curated record. Lineage: Eukaryota; Metazoa; Arthropoda; Insecta; Diptera; Drosophilidae.